Molecule: long non-coding RNA, 1251 nt
Organism: Salvia miltiorrhiza (redroot sage)
Lineage: Eukaryota; Viridiplantae; Streptophyta; Magnoliopsida; Lamiales; Lamiaceae
Exons: 2
Source: RefSeq, a predicted model, not a curated record
UUUAAUAAUUGUGCUGGGCCUUAAUUCAUUCAUUUAAAAGAUGGGCCCUAUUAUUGUUUUAUUAAAUUGGGCUUUCUUAUUUUUAAUUAAUUGAACUAUUAUUAGUUUGAUUAAUUUAUUUAAAGGAUAAUUUUCAUAAUAAUAUUAAAUUAUUAUUAUGUGCAUAUUUUAAGUAAAUUACUUAUUAUAUGCUAAGCAUGACAUGAAAUUGCAUUAUAUUUUGCAAUAAAAGUAUUUAUGAUUUAAUUGGUUUUAUUUAUAAUUCCAAUUAUUUAAGAAAAUCGAGUAAGGAUAUUGUUGGCGUCCUUAACUCAAGAAUUUAGUUUUCAAUUAUUUAUUUAUUAAAUUUUGAAAACCCGGCUAAGUGAAUCAUAGAAUAUAAAACACUACACCAUGACUUAAGAUUAGUUUCAUGAGACCUAUUAAGAAUAGAAUUUAUUGUAGGCUUUGUGACCAGGGGGAUUAGCGCUGCUUUCCCAAGACAAGUUUAUAUGUGAUUAUGAUCUUCAGGCUUUGCCUAACCAGGUGGGCUUACUUUCCAAAUGUACAAAGUAUGAUUGAGUUAUUAAGCUCUAAAUGUUUCAAUAAAAUGCAAAUUAUUUAUUUAAUGUAAUGAAAACUGUUUAUCCAAUAAAAUGUUUAUGUGCACUCUGCUCUGUUUAAGGCUCGCGCAGUUAAUCAAUUGAGGUUCUCUUAUGACCUAAUACGUUGUUUGAGAAUUGUGUACACUUGUUAGUUGACUCGGUGGGUUGAUCUCCAUCGGGCUCUAACCAGAGGCGUUAUAAGGGUGCUCGGCUGGAUGUGUUCCGGAGCAUGAGAAAUAUCAGGCCUGCCUGGGUAGCGUCCCGAGGUCAAUUCAACUUGUCUGAGUUACGUCCUCAGGGCAAGUGUCAGCGGGAGACAGAGAUCCGUCGGUGGCUAGAGGUCCGGGAUCACAGCGAGUAACAGAAAGGGAGUGUGACAUGUUGGCUGGCCGGUGCUGACGGGACGGAGCUGAGGCUAGCGAUAAAUUCCUAUGUUAGACUUCCGCUGUAGCAAUUACUCAUAUCAAUCUUUUGUUUUUCCAACUUAAGAUCUUCAUGUUAAAUUUCAAAUGAUAUACCUGACCGAGCUUAGACUCUUCACUACUAAAUUUAUGCCAAUGAAUGUCGGUUGUCAGAAGCAUGAAACAAAACUUGUGAUCCAAAGGGGCAUAGCCCGACUUUCUAUCCUAUUUCGGGUUUUUACAAGGUUGUUCCUUGUUUAUUUCUA